This 980-nucleotide long non-coding RNA is filed under the name Mytilus galloprovincialis (Mediterranean mussel). Lineage: Eukaryota; Metazoa; Mollusca; Bivalvia; Mytilida; Mytilidae. The record is from RNAcentral.
AUAAGCGACUUCUUUUAUUAUGUUAGUUGAUGUUAUGUUGAGUCGCGCGUUGUUGGUUGAGCAGUAAAAAACAUAUAUAUAGAACUAUACGGUAUAAUGCAUGUGAACUACUACCUAAAAAUGGCAAUGUAGUUUCCGAUUAUAAAUGAAAUGACGAACACACAACGGUGCAUUUAUACUGUCUGUACAUUCGGGUUGCCAUAUUUAAAAUGCAAUAGCGCUAUAUAUAUAUAUAUAUAUAGAGAGAGAGAGUGUAAAAGCCGUUUAUAAAAUUUAAAAAUUCCAAUUCAACGUAAAAAUGAGUUUUCGUUGUUGUUUCAAAUCAUAGUGUAUUGUUUUGUGUAUAUAUCAUGCUGCAUGUACAUCAAUUCGUCGGGCUCUUAAUUAAAGCAAUAAAUAUUCUUAUUCUGCCACAUGUUAUGUUGCACCUGUUUAACCAUUUCGGAUUAAAUGGGUUUUUUUUCAAGUUUUAAUCUACAUUUUGUCAUUUUUGUUCAUAAGAGGUUGAGAUAAGACGAAGAGAUAUCAUUGACAAAAUAUAACUUUAAAUAACUGGGCAAUUUUCCAUGAAUAAAAGGUUGACGACAAAGGUAUUUGUUCAAGUGAUUCAAAAAUUAUCAACUUUAGAAUAUAAAUGAAUAUUUAAAUGUAGACUUAUUGAUUGAUUAUAUGGACCCCUACAUCCAUAAUUAAUGUAAUUUCUAAGCAUAAUUUAAAAUUUUUAACUCUUUUUGUUUCUAUCGCCUUUUAUUUUUAUAUGUAUUACUUUAUUAUGUGUUAUUAUUCGGUAUAAAAUGUUGUUUUGUUGAUUUGUUAUUAUUUAUUUUUAAUCAUAAUUUUGUUAUGAUUUAGUUGAAAAUAACUCCUUUAAAGACUAUUUGGUUCAUCAUAAACUUGUAUGAUAUAAUACCAGAAAACUAAAAACUUUGUACGCUAGACGCGCACUUCAUCUAAAGAAGACUCAUCAGUGACGGUAAUAU